GAGUUGUAAACUGCUUUUGUACGAGGGUAAACUCACCUACGUGUAGGUGACUGAAAGUAUCGUACGAAUAAGGAUCGGCUAACUCCGUGCCAGCAGCCGCGGUAAUACGGAGGAUUCAAGCGUUAUCCGGAUUUAUUGGGUUUAAAGGGUGCGUAGGCGGUUUGAUAAGUUAGAGGUGAAAUCCCGGGGCUUAACUCCGGAACUGCCUCUAAUACUGUUAGACUAGAGAGUAGUUGCGGUAGGCGGAAUGUAUGGUGUAGCGGUGAAAUGCUUAGAGAUCAUACAGAACACCGAUUGCGAAGGCAGCUUACCAAACUAUAUCUGACGUUGAGGCACGAAAGCGUGGGGAGCAAACAGGAUUAGAUACCCUGGUAGUCCACGCAGUAAACGAUGAUAACUCGUUGUCGGCGAUACACAGUCGGUGACUAAGCGAAAGCGAUAAGUUAUCCACCUGGGGAGUA
RNAcentral lists this ribosomal RNA (461 nucleotides) under uncultured bacterium. RNAcentral describes it as "bacterial SSU rRNA". It matches the Rfam family "Bacterial small subunit ribosomal RNA", at positions 420 to 882 of the family's 1533-position model. The record is from RNAcentral.